ACUCAGUAGCGGCAGGUGCAGCUGCUACAGCAAACUUAGAGGGGUCCUUGAGGUACUCCUUGGUCUUCUCAGCAAGAGGGAAAGAGUACUCAGUCUCCACAGCAAUAGCCAACAAGUUCUUGUACGAGUUGACGAAGGAGUGGGGGACAGCAGCCAAGGUGGGGUAGUUCAGGGCCAGUGACACUGCAGCCACAGUGGAGACACCAGCAGCGAACUUGUCCAACAGGUCGUCUUCGGUCAGGUCCAACACCUCAGGUGCGAAGACUGAACCGUUGUCGUAGAUGUUCACAACGACAAGACCGUAAGAGAAUGGCCUGAUGCCCAACUUCGCCAAAAGCGCAGCCUCGGACGAUCCGACCUUGUCACCCUUGUGGACAAGCUCGACAGGGGCGAUAAUCUCGACAGUACCCUUGUUAAUCUUGGUGGGAAUGUUAAGGACCUGGAGAGUUCAGCAUUCUAUUCGUCAGAAACCUUCAGUUAACAGCGUUUCAUAACUGCCAUAAAGAACGACAUCAGAAAAAGGACACUUGCCCACUGCGAUAAGCUAAAUUGACUGACUGGAAUCUCAUUCAUAGAACAUACCAUAUACCGAAGACCUUACCUGG
Molecule: long non-coding RNA, 605 nt
Filed under: Physcomitrium patens
Lineage: Eukaryota; Viridiplantae; Streptophyta; Bryopsida; Funariales; Funariaceae
Description: long non-coding RNA (PPAT_LNC000183)
Source: RNAcentral